AAUACAUUGAAUAACACAAAUAGAGCUUCUGGUGAGUACAUUCAUCGAACUACUAUAUUGAUCGAACUAAAACACAAAAUACAUCUUCUGACAUUCUAUUAACAAGAUUAUAGAGAAAAAACCCAAAUACAUUAUUACAUUGCAUAACAAGCUAAAAUACAAUAUUAGCUUCAAGACUUUCUUCCACUUCAAUUAUUUUUGUUGAUUGUUGAUCUUCUUUAGCAAACCCAAUAUCACAACAUUUGCUUGCCGAGGGAAUUGAGGGUCGUACCACUCGAAAUAUUCAUGUGGACUUCUUCAUUUAGACAGUGUGGAAUCAAAAUAAAUAAAAUCAAAACUUCAGAAAAAUCAAACAAAAUACAACCCAUACAAAAAUUUCAGAAAUUAACCUACCCUAUAGUACUUACAACCGAAGAAUCUACGCCCAGGGUUGUCAUUGGACCAUGAAAUUUUCAAUACUGGAGGACACCCACACGCACAAAAUAACUUCCGCUUCGAAUCCAUGAAGUAAAAUUGGAAGAAGACUUAGAAAGUUGAUGGCAUGAAGAAGAAAAUGCACAACAAAUGUUCU
This 571-nucleotide long non-coding RNA is filed under the name Nicotiana tabacum (common tobacco). RNAcentral describes it as "long non-coding RNA (NTAB_LNC006266)". Lineage: Eukaryota; Viridiplantae; Streptophyta; Magnoliopsida; Solanales; Solanaceae. The record is from RNAcentral.